Molecule: long non-coding RNA, 1051 nt
Organism: Pomacea canaliculata
Lineage: Eukaryota; Metazoa; Mollusca; Gastropoda; Architaenioglossa; Ampullariidae
Exons: 3
Source: RefSeq, a predicted model, not a curated record
UGGAUCCUAUAGAACAUAUCCUUCACUACACACGGGUAUUCAUCAUCCUAGUGUGCUGAACUUGGCCUCCAGAGCUGAUGUUCUUCCCACGAGGCUCUCCCACUCCUGCGGCCAUGAAAGGACCAAGGUUGUCAAAGUCCAAUGAAAUGAGAGUCGAUUGCCCGGAAGUCAAAGUCCGACAACCCAGUAACGGCCGACAAGUUGUUGGUGCUGAACACAAUGUCUUCUUCUUUCCUAUCUCUCGCAACUCAGACUGACACAGAAGGGAAGAAAGAUAAAAAAAAAAGAAGUCAUCCUCUCACAGCCAAUCAGCGGCUACGAUGUUGACCUUUGUCCCCCUCGCCUAACGUGUACAAUAUAAAGGGGAGAAAACUCUACGUACUAGGAGUGAUUCAGAGUUUGUCUCAUCUACGAGGUCUGAAUUAUUGUCAUUGUACAUCACAACAAGUAACAACGGUAUUCCGUAGAGGUUGAAGUUCUACCUGACUGUAACUCUCUCUAACCGUCAGAUACUACGUCAUCAUGCGACACCUGGUGGUCCUUGUGGCGGUGCUGGUGGUGCUGUGUCACUUGGCCGUUGUCACAGCGACUGAUGAUGCCGCGAGUGAAUCGUUGGUUAAUGCGGCAAAUGGUGAACACGGGCUGUGGCACGGGAGGACAAAGAGGGGAAUACAAGUACUCCAGGCACGACUUCCACCCCGAAUAGACGCAGUGAUACAACAACAGCGACCUGCACCACGACGACCACAACGACCGCUGCGGGGACUGCGACGACGACAACGACCUACCCUGGUGUGAGAGAGUUACUCUCCCUGAAAUUGCUUCUUUACAUGAAGAAAUUAUAAAUAUAUUUCUUUCAUUGCACAAAAUAUUUUCUCAGAAGACAGCAGUUGGUACUAUUCCGACUUUGCGUUGUCACAAACUAAAGUUUAAUUUGAAAUUAGUUAAAACAUACUCUGGGGUCUUCAGAAUAUCACCGAGUAAAGUGACUUCUGUGGACUGAACAAAGGGAAUUUUAUUUGAAAUAAAAAUUAUUCCACUUGCACUCAAA